This 175-nucleotide unclassified non-coding RNA is filed under the name soil metagenome. RNAcentral's name for it is "partial contains 5.8S ribosomal RNA, internal transcribed spacer 2, and large subunit ribosomal RNA". The record is from RNAcentral.
AACGCACGAGACCUGCGGACCUGCGGAAGGAUCAUUAGUGAAUUGCUCUCUGAGCGUUAACUACAUCCAUCUACACCUGUGAACUGUUGAUUGACUUCGGUCAGUUACUUUUACAAACAUUGUGUAAUGAACGUCAUGUUAUUAUAACAAAAAUAACUUUCAACAACGGAUCUCU